UAAGACGUAGGGGGCCAGUGUUGCUCGGAAUUACUGGGUGUAAAGGGUUCGUAGGCGGUGUGGCAAGUCGGGAGUGAAAUCUCUGGGCUCAACCCAGAGGCUGCUUCCGAAACUGCUGUGCUUGAGUGUGGGAGAGGCGCGUGGAAUUGCAGGUGUAGCGGUGAGAUGCGUAGAUAUCUGCAGGAACACCCGUGGCGAAAGCGGCGCGCUGGACCACAACUGACGCUGAGGAACGAAAGCUAGGGGAGCAAACAGGAUUAGAUACCCUGGUAGUCCUAGCCCUAAACGAUCAGGACUUGGGGUGCCGCACGUUCGUGCGUCGUCCCGGAGCUAACGCGUUAAGUCCUGCACCUGGGGAGUACGGUCGCAAGACUGAAACUCAAAGGAAUUGACGGGGGCCCGCACAAGCGGUGGAACAUGUGGUUCAAUUCGACGCUACGCGAGGAACCUUACCUGGGCUCGAAAUGCUUAUGACCAGCUGUAGAAAUACGGCCUUCCCGCAAGGGACAUGAGUAUAGGCGCUGCAUGGCUGUCGUCAGCUCGUGCCGUGAGGUGUUGGGUUAAGUCCCGCAACGAGCGCAACCCCCUGCACGCAGUUACUACUCGCAAGAGAGGACUCUGCGUGGACUGCUCCGGAUAACGGAGAGGAAGGUGGGGAUGACGUCAAGUCCGCAUGGCCUUUAUGUCCAGGGCUACACACGUGUUACAAUGCAGGGCACAAACCGUUGCCAACCCGCGAGGGGGAGCUAAUCGGAAAAAACUCUGCUCAGUUCGGAUUGCAGUCUGCAACUCGACUGCAUGAAGCCGGAAUCGCUAGUAAUGGCGUAUCAGAUCGACGCCGUGAAUACGUUCCCGGGCCUUGUACACACCGCCCGUCACAUCACGAAAGUGAGUUGUACUAGAAGUCGCCGCGAUAACCGCAAGGAGGCAGGCGCCCAAGGUAUGACCCAUGAUUGGGGUG
RNAcentral lists this ribosomal RNA (961 nucleotides) under uncultured bacterium. Its description in RNAcentral is "bacterial SSU rRNA". It matches the Rfam family "Bacterial small subunit ribosomal RNA", at positions 521 to 1482 of the family's 1533-position model. The record is from RNAcentral.